RNAcentral lists this long non-coding RNA (277 nucleotides) under Lathyrus oleraceus (garden pea). Its description in RNAcentral is "Pisum sativum (pea) long non-coding RNA (PSAT_LNC019596)". Lineage: Eukaryota; Viridiplantae; Streptophyta; Magnoliopsida; Fabales; Fabaceae. The record is from RNAcentral.
AAAGAGGGAAGUGGUUCAUGAAACAGAGUUAGGAGAGAGAGAGAGAGUGAAGCGACGGAGAAGAGCGGAGGCUCCGCCGUGAGCCGCCGCCUCCGGUCGUCUUCUCCAAGAGGGAAGAACUUUAGGGUUUACAGAGUGUUGUGAGCGGCUGGGAAAUUGAAGAGAGAGAAAGGCUGUUGAAAAAAUAACGCUUCUUUUUCUUUUUUUCCGUUUUAAGCUGACAUAGUUGGAUUUGUCUCCAGGCCUUUCUGUUUUGGCCCAUAAAUCCCCAAUAAAC